Molecule: ribosomal RNA, 67 nt
Filed under: Limosilactobacillus fermentum
Lineage: Bacteria; Bacillati; Bacillota; Bacilli; Lactobacillales; Lactobacillaceae
Description: Lactobacillus fermentum 5S RNA
Source: RNAcentral
AGUUAAGCUUCAGCACGCCAAAAGUAGUUGGGGGAUCGCCCCCUGCGAGGAUAGGACGUUGCCACGC